AAAAUGGUGGAAGGUGCUUGCAAGAAAUUUGUUGUAAUUGUCGAUGAAACAAAAUUGGUUAAGCAUAUAGGUGGGAGUGGAUUGGCUAUGCCGGUUGAGAUUGUGCCCUUUUGUUGGAAAUUUACUCUCGAGAGGCUUCAAAUGAUGUUUAUGGAUGCAGGGUGUGUUGCUAAGCUGCGGAGGUUUAUUGAAAAUGGUGAACCUUUUGUUACGGAUAAUGGGAAUUAUAUAAUUGAUUUGUAUUUUGAGAAAGAUAUUGGGGAUUUGAAGGUUGCUAGUGAUGAAAUUUUGAGGCUUGCUGGUGUUGUUGAGCAUGGAAUGUUUUUGGAUAUGGCUACGACAUUGAUUGUUGCAGGUGAGCUUGGUGUUACGGUCAAGAAUAAGUAGUUUAGCUUUUAGAGGCUUAUCUAUCAAUUUGCUUAGCUAACGUAUUAGUAUAUCUAUGGAAGGGUGGUAGGGAUUGCCCUGUUAAAUUUGGGCUACAAUGAGUCAAUUGUUGUAUCAGAUACAAUCUUGGAUAUGUGAUUGGGGAUGAUGUUCCGAAAGUUUUGCAAAUUCUUGACAUUUUUGUCUCAUCAUCUAAUUAUUAAUACAUUUCAUUUCCAAACAUAUCAUGGCUUCGUAAUAGUUAUCUUUAAUCUUUUAUUAUUUUUCGCGGUUGGAAUGUUGUGCAUGACAAUAAGUAAUUCUUCAAUCUUGUCUUCAUGUGGAUUGUUUCUGUUAACUAUUGCCUGUAGCAUAUGCUUGGAGUUAACCUGUAUGUUUGUUUUUAACUUUGGUUACUGGUUAACCUGUAUGUUUUGUAUGUUGCUCAUUAAUUUGUUCAACUAAUACAACUUUAUUAUCGAUAAUAAAACUUGUUGUUUUCAUUAUCACCAAUGGAUACCUGUUGGUUGUUAAUCAGCCUUUUUCUCUUUAAGCAUAGGUUUUUUUCCGAUUGAGUGCAUAAGUUAGGAUUGUAUUGUAAGUAGAAUUGAAAACGGUUGUCGUGGUAGGUUUUAUGAUAUUUCUUGAGCAGAGUCUUUCUGGUCGAAGGCAUCAGCUGGCAUCAGAUCUGUAUGUUAGUAGUGGAAAUGGUUAUAUUGCAGUUAGUCUUGUGAUAUUCUAUUGUGUAGUGUGGCUUUUGUGCUAUAUGUUCUAUGUGAUGGAUCCGCUCCAUUCUGUGCGGCUAAGUCUUAGAAGAUGUAACGAAGCAGACAUUGUACAUCCUAUCCUAGCCAGUUUUAGUUAAUUGUAGACCUAGGAACAUCUGAACUACCAAAGUACCUUCUGAUAGUUUGAUAUUUUACUGGUAGAAACUUAAUUGGAUUAGAUGCAUCCAAUUAAGUUUCAAACCUCUGAGCAAGUAGACAUUUUUCAUGAACCACCCUUCAAGUAAUACAGGUGAAGGUUUUGUUUAGACUCGCAGAAAUAAACCAGCAAGCUGAAUAAGUAUAAUUAGCGGAAUCGUCUCAACUUGCAGUAAUCCAAGCAAUUGAUGUAUGUAGUAAUUCAGGCAUGCAGAAGAGUAGCUGUUCUGAACUCCCUUGACAGAUCAGGUUUUCCCUAGCUUGAGUAUCAUAUUGAAGUAUUAGUUAUCAUUAGUGUCCACCACAAAAGGCAUAGCAACUAGCAAGUGUUGGUUUAUUUUAGAUUUUAGAUUGCAGCAUCAUAUCCAUUGCAAUAACAGUGUAGCUGCAGUUGCACUCACUCAGCAUUUGAUAUGGCAGAAGCUCAAUUUGAAUGUUACAGAAUCAGUCCAGUGGUCAUUAUCAAAUAUCAACCACGUGAGUUUGUUUAGCUGAAAAAAAAUAAUGACUGAUCGAUUUCAAUUUCAACCAGAUUUUAUAAUUUGGAUUUUAAUUAAUUUCCUAGGUUUGCUGAAACAGAGAUUUAUAUCAUAAAAGAAGUAGUUUAAAUUUACCUGAACAUGACAUGUGAACUCAACUUGAGUUACUCAAGUAAUCAACUUUCCUUGUAAUAAAGAAUAAUAUAUAAAAAAGUAGUCAUUAAAAAUGUGUGACACUGAAUUAUUGACGAUAAAAAGGUAAAUAAAAUAUAUAACUGAAAUGAGCAUUAUUUUUUAAAAUGUGAGUUAUUUUUUUAGUUUAAAUAGAUCGGAAUGAAAUGACUGAUCAAACGAAAAAUAUAUACAUAUUCUUCGUCAACCUAAUUUAUCGUAUAAAUCUUAUUUAUAUUAUUUUAUUCAAAUGAAAAUGGCCUUAAUUUUACGGAAUAAAAUACAUCCAACUUAUUUACCUGCCUUAAAUAUAUGUUGCUAAACAUCGUGAUUUUUGGAAAUGAUUUUAAGAUUAAAAAGAUUUAUAGUACUCCCUCCGUCCCAUUGGAUUGUUAACAUCACUUUUUGGCACGCUUUUUAAGGCCUCAAUAAAAUAUAGCUCCAUGAUGUUUUUUUUUAUAAAAAAAAUUCUGAAUAAAAGUUUGAUGUCUAAACUUUUAUUCAGGAAAAAAAUAAAUUUAAAAAAUAUUAUAUUGCUAUAUUUUAUAAAAGCCUCAAAAUGCGUGCAAACAGUGUAAGUUAACAAUCCCACCGGAGGGAGUACUAUCUUAUUAUCGGACACUGUCACUAUAUUUUAGUUUGAAAAAAUAUAGAAGUGCUCUCCUUUUCACUGUUCACUUGGCUUGUUUCGAGUUUUGGCAGCUCAGCUGUUUCAGCUGUUCCUUUCCUUCACAGCCCAACAAUAUCUCAGGUCUCUCCCUCCCUCUCUCUCUCUCAUUGUGUGUGUUGAAUUUUUAAUGGUUUCUUUCUGUGAAAUAGUAUAUGGGGUUUCUUUAUUUUGAUGUAUGUGAAUUGGUUUUUUUUUAUUCUUGAUAUUGAUUGUAAUGUCACCAGAAUUAAUCUUGUAAAGUUUUGUGAUUUUUUUGAUGGCUAAACGGGGUUUCUUUGUUUUGAUGUUUGAGAAUUGGGUUUUCUCAAUUCUUGAUAUUCAACUUUGAAUUCAAUGGCAAUUGGCACCAGAAUGGCUCUUUAAAAUUUGGAUUUUUUUUUUUUGGUUAUUUAUAAUCGAGUAAUAGUGUGUUAUUUGAAUGUGUUUGAUGUAUGGAACUAAGUUUGAGCUUAUGUUUUAUGUUUGAUUGUGCUGAAUUGGAUUAUUUUGUUUUCAUUAUUUUGUUAUAAGAAAUUGGUUUGGUUUUGAGAAUGGUGUAGGAGAAGCAAAUUUAGGGAGGUGGAGAAGUGGAAUAUCAAGGGGGAUAGGAGAGGGUCCCUGUCAAGGAUCGAGCCAUUUGUUUUGGCAGAGGAGAGAUCGAGCCAUUUGUUUUGGCAGAGAAGAGGACAAACAAGCUGACAUGCUUUCGGGAUUUAAGAAAUAUCAGGGUGGAUGGGACAUUGGUAAUAAGCAUUACUAGAUUGUGAGUGCUUUUCUCUUUAGUUAUCGCUCUUGGAUAUAUAAAGUUAUGUGUGUUUCUAAAUGUUUAGCUCUGUUCUGUUCUAUGUUUCUCCCAAUUAUACUAUUAUUUAAUUUUGUGGAAUAGUUAGUGAGUAAGAUAAAAUAUAUCAGGCAAGAUUCAUAGACUUCUGUUCGGGAGUAGAGACCUACAGGCUACAGUCUGUGUGUUAAACUUGAUGCUAGAAAUUAGGAAAGACAUUGAUUCUUGUUAAGACCUUCCACAGCCAAGAAGAAAGAGAAAGAAAUACAGUUUCUGUUAAAGUGAGAGUAAUUAGUAAGAAAUAUGAUUUGAGCUCUAGGAGAAUGAUUAUAGUAGGUAAUCACGGUUCAGUGUAGGCAUAUGAGGCCAGCUGUUCUAAAACACACACCUGCAGGGCACUGGCCUGCGGCUGUUGGAGUCCUCAAAACACUCACAAAAUGAAAAUGUAAUUAAUUAUAAACAGAGAGGAGUGAAUUCCAAUAAAAGAGUAGUAUUAUCCUAGUUCUUAUGAAACUGCACUAUUCAUCUAUGAUUAUCAUAGGAUUUGUCUGAGAAAUAAUCAAAUAAGGCAUCACAACCUGGAUUGUUUGUGAAACUUGAUUAGGCAAUAUAUGAUUACUUGAAUUCCCAGUCAUUACCAUUUACCAGUGUCAUCCUUAAAGUAAUCAUUGUGGACCUUAUCAUAUUUGCUGCAUGAAUAUAUAUAUAUAUAUUUCUAUACAUAUCUAUAUAUUUUUGAAGGUCUGUGGCGCAGUGUGUAUUAAAUUAUAGAUAUGUACUAGUUGUUAAAGUUGUUGCUAAUUUUUAGUCAUGCAUUUCUUACACCGACUGUCACAAAUGCAUUGCUUGCUGCUUAAGUUGUAUAACUCACACAUAUUAUGCAAUGCUAUUACUUUUCUUGUAAGAAUUAUCUUUUAUUAUCUUUUGUAUCUGACAAAUGCACUGCUCUUGGUUUAUGUCAUUUAGAAUUGUUCUUUGUGUACAUCAAUGCUGUAUGGCUGUCAUGCUGUGGGUGGAGAAUUGGUAUCAAAGGAAAAGAAUCUCCAUAUUCUGAAAGAAUAUUCUUGAUCUUGCUUAUAGACUUCACAUGUGCUGCAGGGUAAUAAUCUUGACACUACUUUAUGGCCUUCAAUUCUAGAUACUUCUAAUUUUCCUCGUCCUAAUGUCUGUUUGCACUUUACUUCUUUCAAUCUUGAUUCGUUUUCUUGGUAAGCCUAUCCGGUUGAGAUUGCUUUCACAACAAUACUUAUUAGUUAUAGUUUAUCUUUUAUCAUGAAUUACAUUAGUCUCUUAUAUAAACAUCGUGGUAUACCUAAAAACAGAAAUAACCCAUGGAUUCAUAAUACUUUUACUAGCAAGUGUUUGAUUCAGCUAACAUCACUCUUACAUUUACAAAAUAAUAAAAGCAGGAUCAAUCAAUUCAUCUAAUGCUGUUUCUAAGAGUUUAUAUACCGGACAAUAUGUCUUUUAUCCCCCCAAUUGCCUUGUAAUAUUGAAAUAUGGCAAGGGGAGCUGAAGACCAUCGGCCCGUACUAAAUUGACCUCUCAUGCUUUUCGCACUUUCUUCAAACUAAGAGUUCCUUUGUUUGGAUCAUAUAUUUCUUCAUGCAAGACUUUGGUGCACUGGACUUAAUAAUUCCAUUCUAAAGACAAAUUAUAUGCACAAAGAAUCCAGAGAUUAUAGUUUUUUGUUAACACACCUUUUCAUGUGUGCCAUGACUUAGGUGAUCAUUUCUGUUCCGGGUUCCGUAAAUCCAGCAUCCCCCUCCNNNNNNNNNNNNNNNNNNNNNNNNNNNNNNNNNNNNNNNNNNNNNNNNNNNNNNNNNNNNNNNNNNNNNNNNNNNNNNNNNNNNNNNNNNNNNNNNNNNNNNNNNNNNNNNNNNNNNNNNNNNNNNNNNNNNNNNNNNNNNNNNNNNNNNNNNNNNNNNNNNNNNNNNNNNNNNNNNNNNNNNNNNNNNNNNNNNNNNNNNNNNNNNNNNNNNNNNNNNNNNNNNNNNNNNNNNNNNNNNNNNNNNNNNNNNNNNNNNNNNNNNNNNNNNCCCCCCCCCCCCCCCCCCCCCCCCAAAAUGAUUAAUGCAUUUAUCAGCUUGGGUUACACUAGCUUGAACUUGAGAACAUGGCUGAAGUAGCCAAAUUAAAUUAACCAUAAACCAAUAGUAGUAUGAUCAAUGAGUUGAGGGGAUGCUAAAAUCUGAUAUUACUAAAGCAAAUGUUGGGAAUCUAGAAGCCCAGUGAGUUGGGAAUAUGCGGAGAAUGGUAGCAAUGAAAGCAAGGCCAAUGCCUUGUUCACCUCUCUAUCUUAUAAAGUUAAGGAGACCUCUCCAUUGAUUUCCUUUUCAUAUAGUAAGUCACAAAAUCACAUUAAUUUAAUCUAUCAUAACACGAUUGUAUAUAAAUAAUUUUCAACUUUUUUUAAAUAUGAUCAUUAACAAUCCAAUACAUUAUAAAAAAUUGAAGUGUUAUGCUGAUAUUUUUCUGUAUUUUUCUUAUAUAAGGGUGUUGUUUAUGUACUGUUUAUACUUUUAGUUAUCUAAUUAGAGCUAACUAGCUAAGUUAUGACUUAUGAAUAUAAUCCAAUAUUAUUAUUAUAAAACUAAAUAUGUAGAUUUCUGGUUACCCUCCAGGCCUCCCUCCCUAGUCCAGCCAAUUUUUUCCCUUAUUUUUGCUUAUAAAUUCAAGUGCCCAAACACAAAAAAUAUUCAGACAAAAAACACCCAAUUUUAUCUAUAACAAGCAAUCCAAAACCCUGCCACCACCCUUUUCUCUCCUCUCCCACAUUCUGACAAUCCAAUAUUCUCACAACCCAUUCAAAUUUGUAAUCAUUUCCACAUCUUUCUUUUCCCACAAUACCUUCUUCCUUGAUACAUACAUCAUGUACAGUAAUAUUGCAUGUAUUGUUAAAAAGCUUCCUUUUAUAUCCUCCACUCUUUUUCAAAUCUCAAAACUCUAAUCUUUAUCCUCUCCUCUGCAAUGCUACAGCCCUUGUUUAUUUUUGCUAAAUGCUGCUAUAGCCCUUUAGCAAUUGCCAAUUAGCAACCCAUUUUAGAGCCCUUUAGCAAUUAGCACCCAUUUUAGACCCUUGAUAUCUUCAUUACUCAUAAAGGUUCAAUUUUUAUUCAUACCCAUCAAUUUGUUUUCUUAAAGAUUUUUUGUUCUAACCCUCCAUUUUAUUUCCAUAAAGAUUUUAUUUUUACACACCCCCCAUUUUAUAUCCAUAUAGAUUCUAUUUUUAUUCAAUUUCUUGAUAUUAUGGCAAUUCCCCACCCUCAUUUUAUUGGGACUAACAAGCCAAAAGUUGAUCUUGUCAAAUGGAAUCUUCACAGUCAACUUUGAUUUUAACCCAAGAUGAAUUAAAGAAAAUCGCAGCCUACAAAGCUGUCGAAUUUGUCGAAUCAGAUACAGUUUUAGGGUUAGGAACUGGGUCUACUGCUUGUUAUGCUGUGGCUCGAAUUGGGGAGCUUUUGCAACAAGGAAAGCUCAAGAACAUUGUAGGAAUUCCUACGUCAAAAAAGACUCAUGAGCAGGCUGUUUCGGUUGGAAUUCCAUUAUCUGAUCUCGAUAAUUACCCGGUUCUUGAUCUUGCGAUAGAUGGGGCAGAUGAGGUUGAUCCUGAUUUGAAUUUGGUUAAGGGGAGAGGUGGGUGUUUGUUAAGAGAGAAAAUGGUGGAAGGUGCUUCCAAGAAAUUUGUCGUAAUUGUCGAUGAAACGAAAUUGGUUAAGCAUUUAGGUGGUAGUGGGUUGGCUAUGCCGGUUGAGGUUGUACCUUUUUGUUGGAAAUAUACUCUCGAGAGGCUUCAGAAGAUGUUUGUGCAUGCAGGGUGUGUUGCUAAGCUACGGAUAAUUAGUGAAAAUGGCGAACCUUUUGUUACGGAUAAUGG
This 7246-nucleotide long non-coding RNA is filed under the name Daucus carota (carrot). RNAcentral's name for it is "long non-coding RNA (DCAR_LNC005897)". Lineage: Eukaryota; Viridiplantae; Streptophyta; Magnoliopsida; Apiales; Apiaceae. The record is from RNAcentral.